GCAUAUCAAUAAGCGGAGGAAAAGAAACCAACAGGGAUUGCCCCAGUAGCGGCGAGUGAAGCGGCAAGAGCUCAGAUUUGAAAUCGUGUUUCGGCACGAGUUGUAGAGUGUAGGCGGGAGUCUCUGUGGAGCGCGGUGUCCAAGUCCCUUGGAACAGGGUGCCUGAGAGGGUGAGAGCCCCGUAGGGUGCUGCGCGAAGCUUUUGAGGCCCUGCUGACGAGUCGAGUUGUUUGGGAAUGCAGCUCCAAGCGGGUGGUAAAUUCCAUCUAAGGCUAAAUAUUGGCGAGAGACCGAUAGCGAACAAGUACUGUGAAGGAAAGAUGAAAAGCACUUUGAAAAGAGAGUGAAACAGCACGUGAAAUUGUUGAAAGGGAAGGGUAUUGGGCUCGACAUGGGGGGUGCGCACCGCUGUCUCUUGUAGGCGGCGCUCUGGGCGCCCUCUGGGCCAGCAUCGGUUCCUGCUGCGGGAGAAGGGGCUCCGGAAAGUGGCUCUUCGGAGUGUUAUAGCCGGGGCCAGAUGCCGCGUGUGGGGACCGAGGACUGCGGCUUCUGUCUCGGAUGCUGGCAUAACGGCGCAAUACCGCCCGUCUUGAAACACGGACC
This 603-nucleotide ribosomal RNA is filed under the name Pichia kudriavzevii. Its description in RNAcentral is "partial large subunit ribosomal RNA". It matches the Rfam family "Eukaryotic large subunit ribosomal RNA", at positions 38 to 667 of the family's 3401-position model. RNAcentral also lists the same sequence under 1 other name. The record is from RNAcentral. Lineage: Eukaryota; Fungi; Ascomycota; Pichiomycetes; Pichiales; Pichiaceae.